RNAcentral lists this long non-coding RNA (225 nucleotides) under Ananas comosus (pineapple). RNAcentral describes it as "long non-coding RNA (ACOM_LNC040787)". The record is from RNAcentral. Lineage: Eukaryota; Viridiplantae; Streptophyta; Magnoliopsida; Poales; Bromeliaceae.
AAUUGUUGUUUACAUUAAUUGCAUUAGAGGGUUUUUUUUAGAUUUUUAAAAUUUUUGUAUAAAAUAAAUUUCUAAAAAUUAAAGAAUAUGAUUUUUAAAAAAGAAUUAAGUAUAUUUGGAUUAAAAGAUUCUAAAAUUGAGUAAUUUGAGUAGUUCUUUUUUAUUAUAAAUAGGAAAAAAACUUUAUUGAGUAAAUUUUUGGUUAAUACAAAAUUUUAGUUUAGA